RNAcentral lists this transfer RNA (90 nucleotides) under Buceros rhinoceros silvestris. It matches the Rfam family "tRNA". From Rfam's summary of the family: Transfer RNA (tRNA) molecules are approximately 80 nucleotides in length. Their secondary structure includes four short double-helical elements and three loops (D, anti-codon, and T loops). Lineage: Eukaryota; Metazoa; Chordata; Aves; Bucerotiformes; Bucerotidae. The record is from Rfam by way of RNAcentral.
CCUUCGAUAGCUCAGCUGGUAGAGCGGAGGACUGUAGGCUGCCUGUACAAAGUAAUCCUUAGGUCGCUGGUUCAAUUCCGGCUCGAAGGA